This is a long non-coding RNA of Ostrea edulis (European flat oyster), 2588 nucleotides long. RefSeq lists it as uncharacterized. The record is from RefSeq and is a predicted model, not a curated record. The transcript has 2 exons. NCBI's taxonomy places the organism in Eukaryota, Metazoa, Mollusca, Bivalvia, Ostreida, Ostreidae.
AUCCUUAUACGAAAGUUAGAGGAAGCAAGACGUAUACCUAGAGACUAGUGUUAUAAAAGACAGAAAGGUUCAUUCAGCGUAAUGCAUAGGUAAGUCUGUGGGUAACUCAGGGAUUACUGGGUCACACUAACACCCUAAUUACUUUAAUAUUGACAGGCGCCAUAAUGUUAUACCGGUAAACAACAUUUUGAACAUGAAUCGAGAACAGGAGUUGAAUCAGUUGAUGCAGAUAUUCUGAGGAGAAUCUUCCAGUCAUUGAAAUAUAUUUCAUGAUAGUCAUGCAGAUUCAGAAGUUGUGAUGGUGUGUUGAUAGGUUGUCUUCAACUUGCCAUAUCUUAGAGUUCCAACAUGCAGGCCUGGAUUAAUGUGCAUAAAUCACUAAUGAAAAAAAGAAUGACAUUUCAAUUUAUACACACUUACCAAGUGAAUCUGAUGAGACUGCUACAUGUAUUUGUGAGUAAAGGCACUCAGUCUUAACCGAAAAACCAUUUACAGUUUAUCACAACAAAUGGAUGGGACAGUAGAGCUGUUGCGGACAAUAUGUGAUUGUGAUGACCAAGUACUGAACAAGUGGAAGAUUAGAAGAAGGUCCAGAAUUCAAUCAUGUUUUUGAUUCUAAGGUGCAGACAGCAUGGAGAUUGUCCUAUUAUUCUCCCGUUCAUCUAUGAUGGAGAAACUUGUGUAAAUGUUUAGUGUUCUCCUUUAUAAUUAAGUGCCCACAAGUCUAUUAAUUUAUCAGAAUAUAAAGUCCUUCACAGUAUUGAUUUUAAAAUUAAUGUAGAUUGUCUCCAGAUUUUUCUGAGGAAAAGUGCAUAGUUUACAUGUGUGAAUUUUGAAUAUAUUUCAUUCUUGUCUGCAAAUGUUGCCGAAACCUGUUGUUAUUGAUGCAGUCAUGUUAUGCAAAUGAUAGACCUCCUUCUUAAUUACAUGUACAGAAGAUCAUGUCAACUCCUUUGUCUUAAUUGUUUACACAAUUCUAGCAUUUAUAGCAUCAUUUAUAUAGCACUUGCUAGUUUAAGAAGGAUUUUAUUUUCUAAAAGCUUUCAUUUGACAUGAUUGAUUUAAAACGUCAGAAAAGUGCCACUGUGGGUUGAUAUUUUUCUCUUGGAUCUUGAAAGAAAUUCUUUAUGCAGCAGUUUCCAAAUAAAAUGUACUCUCAUGACCAGGGUGGGACUUCACCGAGAACUUUUUAACAUUGCACAAUGCAAUAUUUGUAGAUUAGAAGUUGUUACAGUUUCUUUAAGUUUUCUCUCACAUCUUGUUAUAAUUAUAUUUUAUAUUUUUGGUUGGGUUGCACAAUGUGCAAACAGUUUAUAAAAUGGUGAAUGACUCAGUGGUGGGCAAGCGACAGUAGCGUCCCUGUAAUAGUACCUACUUUGUGUAAUCAACUCCUUUCACACCUCUCACUUGAUGUUCCUUAAACUUUGUACAGUUGUUAGGGAUACAUUGAAGAUGUGCAUGUGCCUUUUUGAAAGUGAUCAGACAUUUUUUGAAAAAUUUACAUGUAGUUGAACUUUGUCAUUUUUAAGCAUUUCUUUAAUCGACAGUACCUAUUUUGUGUAAUCAACUCCUCGUAUACCUCUAACUUGACAUUCCUCAAACUGUGUACAUUUGUUUUGAACACAUUGAAAAUGUGCAUAUGUGUUUUUGAAAGUGAUCAGACAUUUAAAAAAAAAUGUAUAUGUAGUUGAACUUAGUCAUUUUUAAGCAUUUCUUGAAUAAAUAGUAACUAUUUUGUGUAAUCAAAUCUUCAUGCACCUCUAACUUGGCAUUCCUUAAACUUUGUACAGUUGUUAUGAACACAUUGAAGAUGUGCAUGCAUCUUUUUGAAAAUGAUUAGACUUUUUAAAAAAAAAAAAUAUGUGUAGUUGAACUUGGUCAUUUUUAUGCAUUUCUUGAAUAGAUGGUACCUAUUUUGUGUGAUCAACUCGUGCACAUCUAAAUUGAUAUUCCUCAAACUUUGUACAGUAGUUAUGGACACAUUGAAGAUGUGCAUGUGUCUUUUUGAAAGUGAUCAGACUUUUUUCAAAAAAAUUACAUUUAGUUGAACUUUGUCAUUUUUUUAAGCAUUUCCUGAAUAGAUGGUACCUAUUUUUUGUAAUCAACUCCUCUUACAGCAUUUAUUUGACAUUCUUCAGACCUUGAACAGCUGUUAUGGAAGCAUUGUAAAUGUGCAUGUGUCUUUUCGGAAGUGAUCAGGCAUUCUUUGAAAAAUUUACAUGUGCAUGGUGAAGUUGAACUUAGUCAUUUUUUAAGCAUGGUACUUUAUGUAACCAACUCAGCUUUUACUUAACAUUUUCCAGACCCUGUACAUUAUAGAUGUUUUAAAAACAUUGAAGAUAUUCAUGUAACAUUUUAAAAAUGCUUCUCUUUUUUUUUUCUCUUUCUUUUUUAUUGUUGAAAAAUUCUACCUUUAAUUUGUCAUUUUCCCAGUAUAUGUUUCUACUGUUGUUCCUAUGAUAGAUAACAUAUUUUACAAGAACCCGGUCAUUUCUAUUUUUGAAUAAAAAAAAUUUCAAUUAGUAUUUUUGAAUAUGUUAAUUACUUGAUAUGUCAUUGUUCUUGAAAUUAUAUUAAUUGAAUUGUUA